This 207-nucleotide ribosomal RNA is filed under the name uncultured bacterium. RNAcentral's name for it is "partial 16S ribosomal RNA". It matches the Rfam family "Bacterial small subunit ribosomal RNA", at positions 568 to 774 of the family's 1533-position model. The record is from RNAcentral.
UUCGUAGGCGGUGUGGCAAGUCGGGAGUGAAAUCUCUGGGCUCAACCCAGAGACUGCUUCCGAAACUGCUGUGCUUGAGUGUGAGAGAGGCUCGUGGAAUUGCAGGUGUAGCGGUGAAAUGCGUAGAUAUCUGCAGGAACACCCGUGGCGAAAGCGGCGAGCUGGAUCACUACUGACGCUGAGGAACGAAAGCUAGGGGAGCAAACA